CCUCAUGGCCCUUAUAGGUGGGGCUACACACGUCAUACAAUGGCUGGUACAAAGGGUUGCCAACCCGCAGGGGGAGCCAAUCCCAUAAAGCCAGUCGUAGUCCGGAUCGUAGUCUGCAACUCGACUACGUGAAGUCGGAAUCGCUAGUAAUCGUGGAUCAGAAUGUCACGGUGAAUACGUUCCCGGGUCUU
This 191-nucleotide ribosomal RNA is filed under the name uncultured Rhodoferax sp. Its description in RNAcentral is "partial 16S ribosomal RNA". It matches the Rfam family "Bacterial small subunit ribosomal RNA", at positions 1191 to 1382 of the family's 1533-position model. Lineage: Bacteria; Pseudomonadati; Pseudomonadota; Betaproteobacteria; Burkholderiales; Comamonadaceae. The record is from RNAcentral.